This 505-nucleotide ribosomal RNA is filed under the name uncultured bacterium. RNAcentral's name for it is "partial 16S ribosomal RNA". It matches the Rfam family "Bacterial small subunit ribosomal RNA", at positions 28 to 507 of the family's 1533-position model. The record is from RNAcentral.
GACGAACGCUGGCGGCGUGCCUAAUACAUGCCAGUAGAACGCACAGUUUAUACCGUAGCUUGCUACACCAUAGACUGUGAGUUGCGAACGGGUGAGUAACGCGUAGGUAACCUGCCUGGUAGCGGGGGAUAACUAUUGGAAACGAUAGCUAAUACCGCAUAAUAUUGAUUAUUGCAUGAUAAUUGAUUGAAAGAUGCUAUUGCAUCACUACCAGAUGGACCUGCGUUGUAUUAGCUAGUAGGUGAGGUAACGGCUCACCUAGGCGACGAUACAUAGCCGACCUGAGAGGGUGAUCGGCCACACUGGGACUGAGACACGGCCCAGACUCCUACGGGGGGCAGCAGUAGGGAAUCUUCGGCAAUGGACGAAAGUCUGACCGAGCAACGCCGCGUGAGUGAAGAAGGGUUUCGGAUCGUAAAGCUCUGUUGUAAGAGAAGAACGGGUGUGAGAGUGGAAAGUUCACACUGUGACGGUAUCUUAACAGAAAGGGACGGCUAACUACGUG